GUUGAAGAACGCAGCGAAAUGCGAUAAGUAAUGUGAAUUGCAGAAUUCAGUGAAUCAUCGAAUCUUUGAACGCACCUUGCACCCUUUGGCAUUCCGAAGGGUAUGCUCGUUUGAGUGUCAUUGUACUCUCACUCUCCCGAUGCUUUUGGAUCGGGAGUGGUGGACUUGGGUGUUGCUGCUUUGCUGUGGCUCGCCUCAAAUGGAGUAGUGCAACUCUUGGUUAGACAUAGUACGGCGUGAUAAGUGUCUUCGCCGGCGCCUCAUUAUAGAGGGUGGCCGAUCGGGAGCUCUGUGCUUCAAACCGUCUUCGGACAACAUCUGACAACUUGACCUCAAAUCGAGUAGGACUACCCGCUGAACUUAAGCAUAUCAAUAAGCGGAGGA
Molecule: unclassified non-coding RNA, 384 nt
Filed under: soil metagenome
Description: partial contains 5.8S ribosomal RNA, internal transcribed spacer 2, and large subunit ribosomal RNA
Rfam family: 5.8S ribosomal RNA (bases 1-120)
Source: RNAcentral